Molecule: ribosomal RNA, 877 nt
Filed under: Russula decolorans
Lineage: Eukaryota; Fungi; Basidiomycota; Agaricomycetes; Russulales; Russulaceae
Description: LSU rRNA
Rfam family: Eukaryotic large subunit ribosomal RNA
Source: RNAcentral
GCGGGAAAAGCUCAAAUUUAAAAUCUGGUGGUCUUUGGCCAUCCGAGUUGUAAUUUAGAGAAGCGUCUUCCGCGCUGGACCGUGCACAAGUCUCCUGGAAUGGAGCGUCAUAGAGGGUGAGAAUCCCGUCUUUGGCACGGACACACCAGGGCUUUUGUGAUGCGCUCUCAAAGAGUCGAGUUGUUUGGGAAUGCAGCUCAAAAUGGGUGGUGAACUCCAUCUAAAGCUAAAUAUUGGCGAGAGACCGAUAGCGAACAAGUACCGUGAGGGAAAGAUGAAAAGCACUUUGGAAAGAGAGUGAAACAGUACGUGAAAUUGUUGAAAGGGAAACGCUUGAAGUCAGUCGCGUCGACCGAGACUCAGCCUUGCCUCGGCUUGGUGUACUUCUCGGCCUGACGGGUCAGCAUCAAUUUUGCCCCUUGGAUAAUGGCGAGGGAAAUGUGACACCUUUACGGUGUGUUAUAGUCCCUUGUCGCAUGCAAGGGUUGGGAUUGAGGAACUCAGCACGCGCCUUUGGGUGUCGGGGCUUUGCCCACGAUACGUGCUUAGGAUGUUGGCGUAAUGGCUUUAAACGACCCGUCUUGAAACACGGACCAAGGAGUCUAACAUGCCUGCGAGUGUUCGGGUGGAAAACCCGUGCGCGCAAUGAAAGUGAAAGUUGGGACCUCUGUCGUGGAGGGCACCGACGCCCGGACCAGACCUUCUGUGACGGCUCUGCGGUGAAGCAUGUAUGUUAGGACCCGAAAGAUGGUGAACUAUGCCUGAAUAGGGUGAAGCCAGAGGAAACUCUGGUGGAGGCUCGUAGCGAUUCUGACGUGCAAAUCGAUCGUCAAAUUUGGGUAUAGGGGCGAAAGACUAAUCGAACAUCUAGUAGCUG